UACGGGGGGGGCAAGCGUUGUUCGGAAUUACUGGGCGUAAAGGGCUCGUAGGCGGCCAACUAAGUCGGAUGUGAAAUCCCUAGGCUUAACCUGGGAACUGCAUCCGAUACUGGAUGGCUUGAAUCCGGGAGAGGGAUGCAGAAUUCCAGGUGUAGCGGUGAAAUGCGUAGAUAUCAGGAGGAACACCGGCGGUGUAGACGGCUUGCUAGACCAUAACUGACGCUGAGGCACGAAAGCGUGGGUAGCAAACAGG
RNAcentral lists this ribosomal RNA (253 nucleotides) under uncultured bacterium. Its description in RNAcentral is "partial 16S ribosomal RNA". It matches the Rfam family "Bacterial small subunit ribosomal RNA", at positions 524 to 776 of the family's 1533-position model. The record is from RNAcentral.